GAUGAAGAACGUAGCGAAAUGCGAUAAGUAGUGUGAAUUGCAGAAUUCAGUGAAUCAUCGAAUCUUUGAACGCACAUUGCGCCCCUUGGUAUUCCAUGGGGCAUGCCUGUUCGAGCGUCAUUUGUACCUUCAAGCUCUGCUUGGUGUUGGGUGUUUUGUCUCGCCUCUGCGUGUAGACUCGCCUUAAAACAAUUGGCAGCCGGCGUAUUGAUUUCGGAGCGCAGUACAUCUCGCGCUUUGCACUCAUAACGGCGACGUCCAAAAGUACAUUUUUACACUCUUGACCUCGGAUCAGGUAGGGAUACCCGCUGAACUUAAGCAUAUCAAAAGCGGAGGA
Molecule: unclassified non-coding RNA, 337 nt
Filed under: soil metagenome
Description: partial contains 5.8S ribosomal RNA, internal transcribed spacer 2, and large subunit ribosomal RNA
Rfam family: 5.8S ribosomal RNA (bases 1-120)
Source: RNAcentral